This 214-nucleotide unclassified non-coding RNA is filed under the name Caenorhabditis briggsae. RNAcentral's name for it is "Cb273 H/ACA snoRNA". The record is from RNAcentral. Lineage: Eukaryota; Metazoa; Nematoda; Chromadorea; Rhabditida; Rhabditidae.
AAAUGCACAAAUUAAGAACUUGCACAGUCGGCUUUCUCAUUUUUAUCUCUUGGCUGUGUUUUGCAGUCGCGUUUAAAAUGAGCUCAGCUAUUGAUCAUGCGAGUGUCAUAUUUAUGCGAGACUAUGUUCGUCUAUGCAUUUCUGUCGUAGUGAGGAAUUCCGAAGCCACGCUACGGCUCUGAAUAUCUCAUAAUGUUCAUAAACGAAAACAUUU